UAGGGAAUAUUGCGCAAUGGGCGAAAGCCUGACGCAGCGACGCCGCGUGAGUGAUGAAGGCCUUCGGGUCGUAAAGCUCUGUUGUACGGGAAGAAACAAAUGACGGUACCGUAUAAGAAAGGACCGGCUAACUUCGUGCCAGCAGCCGCGGUAAUACGAGGGGUCCUAGCGUUGUUCGGAAUCAUUGGGCGUAAAGAGUAUGUAGGCGGCUAUAUAAGUCAGGUGUGAAAGCCCCGGGCUCAACCCGGGAAGUGCAUCUGAUACUGUCUAGCUUGAGUACUGGAGAGGGUAGUGGAAUUCCAGGUGUAGUGGUGAAAUACGUAGAUAUCUGGAGGAACACCGGUGGCGAAGGCGGCUACCUGGCCAUGUACUGACGCUGAGAUACGAAAGCGUGGGGAGC
Molecule: ribosomal RNA, 400 nt
Filed under: uncultured bacterium
Lineage: Bacteria
Description: bacterial SSU rRNA
Rfam family: Bacterial small subunit ribosomal RNA
Source: RNAcentral